Non-coding RNA from Elaeis guineensis (African oil palm), 1419 nucleotides. The record is from RefSeq and is a predicted model, not a curated record. Lineage: Eukaryota; Viridiplantae; Streptophyta; Magnoliopsida; Arecales; Arecaceae.
UUUCAGAGACAUUAUGCACCCUUCCCAGGUCUAAACAGUUUCAUGCUACCAAAUCUUGUUCUGUGACGUGUACCGUCUGUGCUUUCUUUUUCUACCCUUUUUUAAUCCUUCUGGGUCCACUUUUACUUUUUUGGCAAGUGGGGUUGUACGUCAUUGAUUGACAUUGUACAGCAACCAUGCGGUCCAUAUUAGUAGUACCCUGUUCUGAGGGAUUCAUUGGUAGAGAUCAUGUUGGAACUUUCUAAUUAACAUUACCCUUGUAAACAUCUACCAUGAAUGGUUCGAUCAAUGGUCAUUCCAGGUUUGCUUCCAAUUAAAGUUUUAUGACAGGGUGUCAACUGAUCAUAUUUCACAAAUGUUUUUUUUUUUUGUUUUUUCAUUGCGGUUUGUUCUUAAUUCUCAUGAAUCAUCUCUGGUUGGUUACUUCGAUACUGCUUUGAAUACUCAGCACAACUAUUAAAGUUUCCUUACUCUUUUUUUUAUUUUGGGUCUCAGUAGGUUGGGCACUGUUUACUCUUGUUCCUAUUUAAGUCCACUGUUGUUUGAGUUUCAGGGAGUGCAGUUCCAUCCUGAGAGCAUCAUUACCACAGAAGGCAAGAUGAUGAUUAACAACUUCAUCAAGUCUAUUGAAGCUGUGGAAGACUCAAUUCCCAAGCCUUGAAAAUGUCUAUCCAAAAGAAAAAAGGAAAAAUAUUUAUAAGACUCAGAACAAAACAAUGAGCAGUAUUGCUGCUGUCAAUAGAGAUCUAAUUUUCUUCAUCCAUUCUCUCAAUUCUCCAUGCCCACUCAUUGUGAGCAGGUUGAAACUCUGGAGACAUCGGUAUCAUUCCAAGAAGUCUCCAAAGCUUCCAACUUGACUCGUGGCUUGGACUGCUGCCGUGAUAUAUUCUUUGGGCUCAUUCCACGAAGAGCCCUGCUUGAUCUCCAUCUAAUGCCAAAAAUAAAAAAGGAAGAAGAAAAACAUCCACUAAUGAGCCCUGCAAGUUUUACUGCUAUCUAUUUGUAUCAAUUCAAUGGUGAUCAACAGCUGUCUCUCAAUGAUGAAGGGAAAAGAGGCAUUGAUUAGGUUUCACCGUGAUCACCUUUGUCCCUAUGUUGGUCCCCGUCAUACCCAACUUUAGGGACCACAUUCCUCCACCCAAGGCUAGCAGAAUCUUGCUACUUGGCAGAGGACCAAAGGACAUGGAGAGCAGCCUCCAUGCUGGCCCAGAUGGGGGGGCAGCUAUAAUGCAGACACCUCCCAAAUGGCCAAAACAAGCUCAAAAGAAAUGCAAACCUAACUACUCCUAUCUGUAAAGCCAUGGCCCUACCCCAGCACCACACCCACCACCAUCACCACCUUAGAGUGCCAAUGCUAAUGGUAUCAGUAGGCGGGAAGGAACAAGUACAAGAAAGACAUCUAUGAUAAAGAAGACGGGC